Molecule: ribosomal RNA, 1318 nt
Filed under: Apilactobacillus kunkeei
Lineage: Bacteria; Bacillati; Bacillota; Bacilli; Lactobacillales; Lactobacillaceae
Description: bacterial SSU rRNA
Rfam family: Bacterial small subunit ribosomal RNA
Source: RNAcentral
UGGGUAACCUGCCCCGAAGCGGGGGAUAACAUUUGGAAACAAGUGCUAAUACCGCAUAAUUAGUUGGAACCGCAUGGUUCCAACUUGAAAGAUGGCUCUGCUAUCACUUUGGGAUGGACCCGCGCCGUAUUAGUUAGUUGGUGAGAUAAAAGCCCACCAAGACGAUGAUACGUAGCCGACCUGAGAGGGUAAUCGGCCACAUUGGGACUGAGACACGGCCCAGACUCCUACGGGAGGCAGCAGUAGGGAAUCUUCCACAAUGGACGAAAGUCUGAUGGAGCAACGCCGCGUGAGUGAUGAAGGUUUUCGGAUCGUAAAACUCUGUUGUUAAAGAAGAACAAGUGUUAGAGUAACUGUUAACACUUUGACGGUAUUUAACCAGAAAGCCACGGCUAACUACGUGCCAGCAGCCGCGGUAAUACGUAGGUGGCAAGCGUUGUCCGGAUUUAUUGGGCGUAAAGCGAGCGCAGGCGGUUUUUGUAAGUCUUGCUGUGAAAGCCCUCAGCUCAACUGAGGAAGUGCAGUGGAAACUACAAAACUUGAGUACAGAAGAGGAAAGUGGAACUCCAUGUGUAGCGGUGAAAUGCGUAGAUAUAUGGAAGAACACCAGUGGCGAAGGCGGCUUUCUGGUCUGUUACUGACGCUGAGGCUCGAAAGCAUGGGUAGCGAACAGGAUUAGAUACCCUGGUAGUCCAUGCCGUAAACGAUGAAUACUAGGUGUUGGAGGGUUUCCGCCCUUCAGUGCCGCAGCUAACGCAUUAAGUAUUCCGCCUGGGGAGUACGACCGCAAGGUUGAAACUCAAAGGAAUUGACGGGGGCCCGCACAAGUGGUGGAGCAUGUGGUUUAAUUCGAUGCUACGCGAAGAACCUUACCAGCUCUUGACAUCUUCUGCCAACCCAAGAGAUUGGGCGUUCCCUUCGGGGACAGAAUGACAGGUGGUGCAUGGUUGUCGUCAGCUCGUGUCGUGAGAUGUUGGGUUAAGUCCCGCAACGAGCGCAACCCUUAUUAUUAGUUGCCAGCAUUUAGUUGGGCACUCUAGUGAGACUGCCGGUGAUAAACCGGAGGAAGGUGGGGACGACGUCAAAUCAUCAUGCCCCUUAUGAGCUGGGCUACACACGUGCUACAAUGGAUGGUACAACGAGUCGCGAAACCGCGAGGUCAAGCUAAUCUCUUAAAGCCAUUCUCAGUUCGGAUUGCAGGCUGCAACUCGCCUGCAUGAAGUUGGAAUCACUAGUAAUCGUGGAUCAGCAUGCCACGGUGAAUACGUUCCCGGGCCUUGUACACACCGCCCGUCACACCAUGAGAGUUUGUAACUCC